CUACGGGCGGCUGCAGUGGGGAAUAUUGCACAAUGGGCGCAAGCCUGAUGCAGCCAUGCCGCGUGUAUGAAGAAGGCCUUCGGGUUGUAAAGUACUUUCAGCGGGGAGGAAGGGAGUAAAGUUUAUACCUUUGCUCAUUGACGUUACCCGCAGAAGAAGCACCGGCUAACUCCGUGCCAGCAGCCGCGGUAAUACGGAGGGUGCAAGCGUUAAUCGGAAUUACUGGGCGUAAAGCGCACGCAGGCGGUUUGUUAAGUCAGAUGUGAAAUCCCCGGGCUCAACCUGGGAACUGCAUCUGAUACUGGCGAGCUUGAGUCUGGUAGAGGGGGGUAGAAUUCCAGGUGUAGCGGUGAAAUGCGUAGAGAUCUGGAGGAAUACCGGUGGCGAAGGCGGCCCCCUGGACGAAGACUGACGCUCAGGUGCGAAAGCGUGGGGAGCAAACAGGAUUAGAUACCCUAGUAGUC
This 464-nucleotide ribosomal RNA is filed under the name uncultured bacterium. Its description in RNAcentral is "partial 16S ribosomal RNA". It matches the Rfam family "Bacterial small subunit ribosomal RNA", at positions 339 to 795 of the family's 1533-position model. The record is from RNAcentral.